RNAcentral lists this ribosomal RNA (253 nucleotides) under uncultured bacterium. Its description in RNAcentral is "partial 16S ribosomal RNA". It matches the Rfam family "Bacterial small subunit ribosomal RNA", at positions 524 to 776 of the family's 1533-position model. The record is from RNAcentral.
UACGUAGGGUGCAAGCGUUAUCCGGAUUUAUUGGGCGUAAAGGGCUCGUAGGCGGUUCGUCGCAUCCGGUGUGAAAGUCCAUCGCUUAACGGUGGAUCCGCGCCGGGUACGGGCGGGCUUGAGUGCGGUAGGGGAGACUGGAAUUCCCGGUGUAACGGUGGAAUGUGUAGAUAUCGGGAAGAACACCAAUGGCGAAGGCAGGUCUCUGGGCCGUUACUGACGCUGAGGAGCGAAAGCGUGGGGAGCGAACAGG